UGCAGUCGYACGAUGAUGCCCAGCUUGCUGGGUGGAUUAGUGGCGAACGGGUGAGUAACACGUGAGUAACCUGCCCCUGACUCUGGGAUAAGCGUUGGAAACGACGUCUAAUACUGGAUAUGAUCACUGGCCGCAUGGUCUGGUGGUGGAAAGAUUUUUUGGUUGGGGAUGGACUCGCGGCCUAUCAGCUUGUUGGUGAGGUAAUGGCUCACCAAGGCGACGACGGGUAGCCGGCCUGAGAGGGUGACCGGCCACACUGGGACUGAGACACGGCCCAGACUCCUACGGGAGGCAGCAGUGGGGAAUAUUGCACAAUGGGCGAAAGCCUGAUGCAGCAACGCCGCGUGAGGGAUGACGGCCUUCGGGUUGUAAACCUCUUUUAGUAGGGAAGAAGCGAAAGUGACGGUACCUGCAGAAAAAGCACCGGCUAACUACGUGCCAGCAGCCGCGGUAAUACGUAGGGUGCAAGCGUUGUCCGGAAUUAUUGGGCGUAAAGAGCUCGUAGGCGGUUUGUCGCGUCUGCUGUGAAAUCCCGAGGCUCAACCUCGGGCUUGCAGUGGGUACGGGCAGACUAGAGUGCGGUAGGGGAGAUUGGAAUUCCUGGUGUAGCGGUGGAAUGCGCAGAUAUCAGGAGGAACACCGAUGGCGAAGGCAGAUCUCUGGGCCGUAACUGACGCUGAGGAGCGAAAGCAUGGGGAGCGAACAGGAUUAGAUACCCUGGUAGUCCAUGCCGUAAACGUUGGGCGCUAGAUGUAGGGACCUUUCCACGGUUUCUGUGUCGUAGCUAACGCAUUAAGCGCCCCGCCUGGGGGAGUACGGCCGCAAGGCUAAAACUCAAAGGAAUUGACGGGGGGCCCGCACAAGCGCGGAGCAUGCGGAUUAAUUCGAUGCAACG
RNAcentral lists this ribosomal RNA (895 nucleotides) under Curtobacterium sp. Its description in RNAcentral is "bacterial SSU rRNA". The record is from RNAcentral. Lineage: Bacteria; Bacillati; Actinomycetota; Actinomycetes; Micrococcales; Microbacteriaceae.